UCGAGCGAGAAUCCCCGCAAGGGGAGGAAAGCGGCGAAAGGGAGAGUAAUACGUAGGUACCUGCCCUCGGGCCUGGGAUAACUGCGGGAAACCGCAGCUAAUACCAGAUGACGUCCGUGGACCAAAGGUGUGAUUCCGCCAGGGGAUGGGCCUGCGUCCUAUCAGCUAGUUGGUGUGGUAAAGGCGCACCAAGGCAAAGACGGGUACGGGGUGUGAGAGCAUGCCCCCGCUCACUGGGACUGAGACACUGCCCAGACACCUACGGGUGGCUGCAGUCGAGAAUCUUCCGCAAUGGGCGCAAGCCUGACGGAGCGACGCCGCGUGCGGGAUGAAGGCCUUCGGGUUGUAAACCGCUGUCAGUGGGGAGCAAAUGGAUAGGGGUUCUCCCCUAUUCUUGAGCGAUCCGCAGAGGAAGCACAGGCUAAUUCCGUGCCAGCAGCCGCGGUAAUACGGAAUGUGCAAACGUUA
RNAcentral lists this ribosomal RNA (468 nucleotides) under uncultured bacterium. RNAcentral describes it as "bacterial SSU rRNA". It matches the Rfam family "Bacterial small subunit ribosomal RNA", at positions 62 to 543 of the family's 1533-position model. The record is from RNAcentral.